This 3527-nucleotide ribosomal RNA is filed under the name Chlorobiota bacterium. RNAcentral describes it as "partial 23S ribosomal RNA". It matches the Rfam family "Bacterial large subunit ribosomal RNA", at positions 1 to 2528 of the family's 2925-position model. The record is from RNAcentral. Lineage: Bacteria; Pseudomonadati; Chlorobiota.
GUGAGAAAAUCUCAAUAAGAGCAUAUGGUGAAUGCCUUGACACAAAAAGACGAUGAAGGACGUAGCAGCCUGCGAUAAGCCUUGGUGAGGUGGUAAGCAACCUUUGACCCAAGGAUUUCCGAAUGGGGAAACCUACUUCGUUGAAGACGAAGUGUCCCUUAUCUGAACACAUAGGAUAAGUGAGACGAAUACCCGGUGAACUGAAACAUCUUAGUAACCGGAGGAAAAGAGAACAACAAUGGGUGCUACACAGAUUAACUUAGUUUCGGCUAAGCGAUUCUGUGUAACAUCUCGUGAUUCCCUGAGUAGUGGCGAGCGAAAGGGGAAAAGCCUAAACCUUAUUAAACCUUGUAUUAUGAUUUUACUUCGGUAAUUGAAUUUUACUUAAGGGUCUGAGCCCACAUGUUUAUAAGGGGUUGUAAGAUAUACAUUUUCUAUUUCUCAGAUUUUUUAGAGCAGAGUCAUAAAAGUUAUUGUUAGUUAAAGCGAGUUGGAAAGCUCCGCCAGAGAAGGUGACAGCCCUGUACGCGAAAACAAUUUCUCUCUGUUUUGUAUAUUCUUAAGUAGGGCGGGACACGUGAAAUCCCGUUUGAAUCUAGGUCGACUAUGAUCUAAGGCUAAAUACUUUUUGUGAUCGAUAGUGAACAAGUACCGUGAGGGAAAGGUGAAAAGCAUCCCGGGAGGGAGGUGAAAUAGUACCUGAAACCAUAUGCUUACAAGGAGUCGGAGCCCUUCGGGGUGACGGCGUGCCUAUUGAAGAAUGAGCCAACGAGUUUGUUGUAUGUGGCUUGAUUAAUCCCGCACCUUUUCGCUGAGAGUUAAAGAAGAUCAUUUGAAUUUUAAUUAAUUCAAAUAUAUAUCUGAAAUUUCUAUUCGGCCAAAAGGUGCGGGAGAAGUCAUAGUGAAAGCGAGGGUUAAUAGCCCGUAUCUUACUUUUUAGAAAUAUAAGAAUAUUUAUAUUCUAGUAUUUCUAAAAUUUAGGAAGGUCGCAUGCACAAGACCCGAAUCCAGGUGAUCUAACCAUGACCAGGCUGAAUCUCAUAGAAAUAUGAGAGAAGGGCCGAACCCACUAGUCGUGCAACACUAGGGGAUGAGUUGUGGUUAGCGGAGAAAUUCCAAUCGAACCUGGCAAUAGCUGGUUCUCCUCGAAAUAGCUUUAGGGCUAGCGUCGGAUGCUGACUACUGGGGGUAGAGCACUGAAUGGGUCUGGGGCCGCAAGGUACCCUGCCUAACCAAACUCCGAAUACCAGUAGGUGUAAUCCGGCAGUUAGACUAUGGGGGCUAAGCUCCAUCAGUCAAAAGGGAAACAGCCCAGAUCACAAUCUAAGGUCCCUAAAUAUAUACUAAGUGUAAAAGGUGGUGUUGUGACUACUACAACUAGGAGGUUGGCUUAGAAGCAGCCAUCCUUUAAAGAUAGCGUAAUAGCUCACUAGUCCAGUUGUUUCGCGCCGAAAAUUUAUCGGGGCUAAGUAUAUUACCGAAGAUGUGAGUUCAUUAUUUAUUUAAUGAGCGGUAGAGGAGCAUUCUCAUUGCUUUGAAGUCGAAUCGUGAGAUUCGGUGGAGCGGUGAGAAGAGAGAAUGUUGGCAUGAGUAGCAAAAAGGCGGGUGAGAACCCCGCCCACCGUAAGACUAAGGGUUCCUGGGCAACGCAAAUCGCCCCAGGGUUAGUCGGUCCUAAGACGAGGCGUGUGUAGUGCACGCGUAGCCGAUGGAUGAGCUGGUUAAUAUUCCAGCACUACUGUUGUUUUCCGAUGGGGGGACGCGGUUCAGAAGUUUGAGCGUAUCUAUGGUAUGUACGUUGAUUACUUUGAGAAACGAUCUAGGUAAAUCCGGAUCAUUAGUUUCAAGAAGUUGUCUGAAGAUGAAGUCUCUGAUGGAAUCAAUUCGAGUGGAUGAAUCGCCCAGAAAAACCUCUAGGGCUAAGGCAACAGUAACCGUACCGUAAACCGACACAGGUAGUCGAGGCGAGUAGCCUCAGGUGAACGAGAGAACCUUCGUUAAGGAACUAGGCAAAACAGCGUCCGUAAUUUCGAGAUAAGGACUGCCCUACUUUUGUAGGGCCGCAGCUAAAGAGCUCGGGUGACUGUUUACCAAAAACACAGCUCCCUGCUAACUCGUAAGAGGAUGUAUAGGGGGUGACGCCUGGCCAGUGUCCGAACGUUAAGUGGAUGGGUUAGCACUUCGGUGCGAAGCUCUGAAAUCAAGCGCGGAUGAACGCCGGCCGUAACUAUAACGGUCCUAAGGUAAUGUAAUUUAGAGAUAGAUUGCAUUUUGACUGGGACCGUUGUACAGAAAUUCGUUGCCUAUUUUGAUUGUAAUAAUCAGAAUGUCAUUAAACACUCAGAUAUAUGCGGGGAAAUCCUCAAAAGAUUUUCGGUACUCACUCUAUUUUAUAGAGAAGUAAAAAUCCGAAAAUACAUGGGGGCGACACGCAGAAUUAAUUUAAUAAUUGAUUCUCAGAGACUUAACACUGAGGUCCGUAAAAAUAUGCUUAUAAAUCCAUAUUGGAUAAGUGGUUUCACUGACGGUGAAGGAACUUUUUAUGUCGGAAUAAAUAAAAAUUCAACAAUGAACGUUGGAUAUCAGGUUCUACCUGAGUUUAGAAUAGUUCAACAUAAAAAAGACAUAGCCUUAUUACACUCAAUUAAAAAAUAUUUUAAUUGCGGAGUAGUGAGAGUUAACCAUGAUGAUAGAUUUGAAUUGAGAAUAAGAUCGAUUGAACAUAUAAAUCAGAUUAUUAUUCCUCACUUCGAAAAAUAUCCGCUUAUCACUCAGAAAAAAUUUGAUUUUAUUAAAUUUAAGAAAAUUAUUAAUUUAAUAAAUCAAGAAAAGCAUCUGGAAAAAGAUGGAUUAAUAAAAAUAAUUGAUAUUUCUAGUCAAAUGAACAGGAAAGACAAAAAGAAAGCGCUAGAAAUAAAAAAUAACAUAUUAGGACAAGAUAAAGUCCAUGCUUGAUAGAUAAUAUCAAGAGGGUACAGAGCGAAAUUCCUUGUCGGGUAAGUUCCGACCUGCACGAAUGGCGUAACAACUUGAGCACUGUCUCAACGAAGGACUCGGCGAAAUUGCAAGACGAGUAAAGAUGCUCGUUAAUCGUAGUCGGACGAAAAGACCCCGUGAAGCUUUACUAUAGCUUGACAUUGAAUUAGGGUCAUGCAUGUUCAGUAUAGGUGGGAGCCUUCGGGCACCAGUGAGAUACCACCCUUGUAUGUUUUUAAUUCUAACUUGAGACCAUGAAUCUGGUCCAAGGACAGUGUCUGGUGGGUAGUUUGUCUGGGGCGGAUGCCUCAUAAAGAGUAACUGAGGCGAUUACAAAGGUUAGCUAUCCCGGAAUGGAAACCCGGGAGAUUGUUUAAAGGCAAAAGCUAGCUUUACUGCAAGACCUACAAGUCGAGCAGUUGCGAAAGCAGAACUUAGUGAUCCGACCGUUCGAUAUAGGACGGCGGAAGCUCAUCGGAUAAAAGCUACUCCGGGGAUAACAGGCUAGUCACGCCCAAGCGUCCACAGCGACGGCGUGGUUCGGCACCUCG